AAGAAUUUAAAGAGGUGCACUUCAUUGUGGCUCGACAUUUUCUACCAUUCACCCUAGGUGCACCGUAAUACCUUUUUUUAUUAGACUCUACAAAGUUAAUGAAUGUAACACUUUUUUAUAAAGAAAUA
This 128-nucleotide unclassified non-coding RNA is filed under the name soil metagenome. Its description in RNAcentral is "partial internal transcribed spacer 1". The record is from RNAcentral.